AAUAUUGGUCAAUGGAGGCAACUCUGAACCAGCCAAGUCGCGUGAAGGAUGAAGGUCUUAUGGAUUGUAAACUUCUUUUGCAAGGGAAUAAAGUGUAGUACGUGUACUAUUUUGCAUGUACCUUACGAAUAAGGAUCGGCUAACUCCGUGCCAGCAGCCGCGGUAAUACGGAGGAUCCGAGCGUUAUCCGGAUUUAUUGGGUUUAAAGGGUGCGCAGGCGGGAGAUUAAGUCGGCGGUGAAAUUUUGCAGCUCAACUGUAAAAGUGCCUUCGAAACUGGUUUCCUUGAGUGUGGAUGAAGUAGGCGGAAUUUGUGGUGUAGCGGUGAAAUGCAUAGAUAUCACGAGGAACUCCGAUUGCGCAGGCAGCUUACUAAGCCAUAACUGACGCUCAGACACGAAAGCGUGGGGAGCAAACAGG
This 419-nucleotide ribosomal RNA is filed under the name uncultured bacterium. RNAcentral's name for it is "partial 16S ribosomal RNA". It matches the Rfam family "Bacterial small subunit ribosomal RNA", at positions 360 to 776 of the family's 1533-position model. The record is from RNAcentral.